GUUGAGUUCUGACUCUCAAACUGUAAACACUGCUGGGCCGGACUGUCAUAUUUGUUUACUACGACUUUAUGUUUCUUGAAUUAUUGCAUCGCUUCAGCUCUCUCAGCAAUCAAUUCCAAAAAAGUGCCAUAAAUAAAAAAGGAAAAAGAUGUUCAAGACAAAACAGAAUAUGAUUGUAUUCACCGUCCUGGUACUAGGACUAGGACCAGUUUUUUCCGCUCCAACCCAGGACGGAGCGGGACACCAGGACGGAGAAGGACAUCAGGACCUCAUGGGAGCUAUGAUGUAUCUAAUGAAAUAUGGAUAUAUGAGAGCUCCAAGUCCUCAAGCUAAAUCAGCAAAUCUGCUUUCACAGGAUGGUUUGAAGAGUUAUAUAAUGGAGUUCCAAAGUUUUGCUGGUUUACCUCUGACCGGAGAACUAGAUAAUCAAACCAUAUCUCUCAUGGCGACUCCCAGAUGUGGAGUUAAAGAUAUAGUUGGAGCAGGAGCUACUGCCAGGAAGAAAAGAUAUGCUUUACAGGGUUCCAGAUGGAAAACUCGGGAACUGUCCUAUAAAAUAUCAAAAUAUCCUACUGCAUCUCUUCUAAAAAAAAGUGAAGUGGAUUCUGAGAUAAAGAAAGCUCUUGAAAUCUGGGGAACUGUGACAGAUCUGACCUUUAUACAAAAACAAUCUGGAAAAGUACAUAUUGAUAUCAGGUUUGAGAAAGGAGAACAUGGUGAUGGAGAUCCCUUUGAUGGACCUGGAGGAACCCUUGCUCAUGCUUACUUUCCAGUUUAUGGAGGAGAUGCUCAUUUUGAUAACUCAGAGUCAUGGACUAUCAAUAGUUACAGGGGAACCAAUCUACUACAAACUGCAGCUCAUGAGUUCGGGCACAGUUUAGGACUCUCACACUCAGACGAAUACAAGGCUUUAAUGGCACCUUUCUACAGGGGAUACCAGGAGAAGCUUGAGCUGGAUAUUGAUGAUAAAAAGGCAAUCCAAGCAAUCUACGGGGAAAAACUUAAAGAUCCCGAGCAAACUGUUCCUAACGUUCCUGUAACCAACAGACCUAUAUUGAGUAAACCUGGAGGGGGGCGGGAUAUUUGCUCCGAACCAACCCUGGAUUCUAUUCUUACCAUCGGAGAAACUACAUUUGCUUUCAAAGGAGACUCCUAUUGGAAGCUAACAGAUGACUCCAUAGCUCCUGGAUACCCUAGACUUGUUUCUCAAGACUGGACUGGACUUCCAGAUAAUAUUGAUGCUGCUUUUACAUGGGAAAACGGAAAAACAUAUUUCUUCAAAGGAUCUAAAUACUGGAGGUAUAGCUUUGACGAAAUGGAACCCGGGUACCCUAAGGAGAUAAGUAAAGGGUUUGAAGGAAUACCAAACAAUGUUGACGCGGCAUUUGUUUGGUCAGGGAACGGGAAAAUAUACUUUUUCAAGGGAUCUCAAUACUGGAGGUUUGAUCCAGACAGUCGACCUCCGGUCAAACCAUCCUAUCCAAGACCUAUCUCCAACUGGGAGGGUAUCCCGGAUAAUCUAGAUGAUGCUCUGCAGUACAGUAAUGGAUACACUUAUUUCUUCAAGGCUGGAGAAUAUUACCGGUUUGAUGACCGCUCCUUUAAGGUUGAUACUGCUGAUCCCCCAUUCCCACGUCCAGUUGGAUAUUGGUGGUUCGGAUGCCCUUCCUCUCUUACUAAAGCUGGUAUUAGGUCGACCUGAACAGUUUGACGCUGUCCAUGGUAACUAUGGUUUGAAUGAGGUAGAUUCUAGCUCUCUAGAUGCAGAGAGGUUUAAUGAUGUCU
This 1785-nucleotide unclassified non-coding RNA is filed under the name Eurytemora carolleeae. RNAcentral's name for it is "matrix metalloproteinase-16". Lineage: Eukaryota; Metazoa; Arthropoda; Copepoda; Calanoida; Temoridae. The record is from RNAcentral.